Molecule: ribosomal RNA, 455 nt
Filed under: uncultured Anoxybacillus sp.
Lineage: Bacteria; Bacillati; Bacillota; Bacilli; Caryophanales; Anoxybacillaceae
Description: bacterial SSU rRNA
Rfam family: Bacterial small subunit ribosomal RNA
Source: RNAcentral
CCCGCACAAGCGGUGGAGUAUGUGGUUUAAUUCGAAGCAACGCGAAGAACCUUACCAGGUCUUGACAUACCGGGCAAAGCCCUAGAGAUAGGGAAAUAGUUAUGCCGGAUACAGGUGGUGCAUGGUUGUCGUCAGCUCGUGUCGUGAGAUGUUGGGUUAAGUCCCGCAACGAGCGCAACCCUCGACCUUAGUUGCCAGCAUUCAGUUGGGCACUCUAAGGUGACUGCCGGCUAAAAGUCGGAGGAAGUGGGGAUGACGUCAAGUCAUCAUGCCCCUUAUGACCUGGGCUACACACGUGCUACAAUGGGCGGUACAAAGGGUCGCGAACCCGCGAGGGGGAGCCAAUCCCAAAAAGCCGCUCUCAGUUCGGAUUGCAGGCUGCAACUCGCCUGCAUGAAGCCGGAAUCGCUAGUAAUCGCGGAUCAGCAUGCCCGCGUCGAAUACGUUCCGGCCUU